This 468-nucleotide ribosomal RNA is filed under the name uncultured bacterium. RNAcentral's name for it is "partial 16S ribosomal RNA". It matches the Rfam family "Bacterial small subunit ribosomal RNA", at positions 28 to 507 of the family's 1533-position model. The record is from RNAcentral.
GACGAACGCUGGCGGCGUGCUUAACACAUGCAAGUCGAACGGAAAGGCCCUGCUUUUGUGGGGUGCUCGAGUGGCGAACGGGUGAGUAACACGUGAGUAACCUGCCCUUGACUUUGGGAUAACUUCAGGAAACUGGGGCUAAUACCGGAUAGGAGCCCCUGCUGCAUGGUGGGGGUUGGAAAGUUUCGGCGGUUGGGGAUGGACUCGCGGCUUAUCAGCUUGUUGGUGGGGUAGUGGCUUACCAAGGCUUUGACGGGUAGCCGGCCUGAGAGGGUGACCGGCCACAUUGGGACUGCGAUACGGCCCAGACUCCUACGGGAGGCAGCAGUGGGGAAUAUUGCACAGUGGGCGGAAGCCUGAUGCAGCAACGCCGCGUGCGGGAUGACGGCCUUCGGGUUGUAAACCGCUUUCGCCUGUGACGAAGCGUGAGUGACGGUAAUGGGUAAAGAAGCACCGGCUAACUACGUG